AACGAACGCUGGCGGCAUGCUUAACACAUGCAAGUCGAACGAGACCUUCGGGUCUAGUGGCGCACGGGUGCGUAACGCGUGGGAAUCUGCCCUUUGCUACGGAAUAACUCGGAGAAAUCCGUGCUAAUACCGUAUGAUGUCGUAAGACCAAAGAUUUAUCGGCAAAGGAUGAGCCCGCGUAAGAUUAGCUAGUUGGUAGG
This 200-nucleotide ribosomal RNA is filed under the name uncultured bacterium. RNAcentral describes it as "partial 16S ribosomal RNA". It matches the Rfam family "Bacterial small subunit ribosomal RNA", at positions 29 to 256 of the family's 1533-position model. The record is from RNAcentral.